This 486-nucleotide ribosomal RNA is filed under the name uncultured bacterium. RNAcentral describes it as "partial 16S ribosomal RNA". It matches the Rfam family "Bacterial small subunit ribosomal RNA", at positions 30 to 507 of the family's 1533-position model. The record is from RNAcentral.
AUUGAACGCUGGCGGCAUGCCUUACACAUGCAAGUCGAACGGCAGCACGGGUGCUUGCACCUGGUGGCGAGUGGCGAACGGGUGAGUAAUACAUCGGAACAUGUCCUGUAGUGGGGGAUAGCCCGGCGAAAGCCGGAUUAAUACCGCAUACGAUCUACGGAUGAAAGCGGGGGACCUUCGGGCCUCGCGCUAUAGGGUUGGCCGAUGGCUGAUUAGCUAGUUGGUGGGGUAAAGGCCUACCAAGGCGACGAUCAGUAGCUGGUCUGAGAGGACGACCAGCCACACUGGGACUGAGACACGGCCCAGACUCCUACGGGAGGCAGCAGUGGGGAAUUUUGGACAAUGGGCGAAAGCCUGAUCCAGCAAUGCCGCGUGUGUGAAGAAGGCCAUCGGGUUGUAAAGCACUUUUGUCCGGAAAGAAAUCCUUGGCCCUAAUACGGUCGGGGGAUGACGGUACCGGAAGAAUAAGCACCGGCUAACUACGUG